RNAcentral lists this transfer RNA (66 nucleotides) under Atyopsis moluccensis. RNAcentral describes it as "tRNA-Ile". Lineage: Eukaryota; Metazoa; Arthropoda; Malacostraca; Decapoda; Atyidae. The record is from RNAcentral.
AAUAGUGUGCUUGAUAAAAAAGGCCGUCUUGAUAGGGCGGAUCAUGUGAGACCCUCACCGCUAUUA